Molecule: ribosomal RNA, 1250 nt
Filed under: Candidatus Phytoplasma phoenicium
Lineage: Bacteria; Bacillati; Mycoplasmatota; Mollicutes; Acholeplasmatales; Acholeplasmataceae
Also listed under: 2 other names
Description: bacterial SSU rRNA
Rfam family: Bacterial small subunit ribosomal RNA
Source: RNAcentral
GAAACAGUUGCUAAGACAGGAUAGGAAAUUAAGAGGCAUCUUUUAAUUUUUAAAAGACCUUUUUCGAAAGGUAUACUUAAAGAGGGGCUUGCGCCACAUUAGUUAGUUGGUAAGGUAAAGGCUUACCAAGACGAUGAUGUGUAGCUGGACUGAGAGGUCGAACAGCCACAUUGGGACUGAGACACGGCCCAAACUCCUACGGGAGGCAGCAGUAAGGAAUUUUUGGCAAUGGAGGAAACUCUGACCGAGCGACGUCGCGUGAACAAUGAAGUACUUCGGUAUGUAAAGUUCUUUUAUUGAAAAAGAAAAAAUAGUGGAAAAACUAUCUUGACAUUAUUCAAUGAAUAAGCCCCGGCUAAUUAUGUGCCAGCAGCCGCGGUAAUACAUAAGGGGCGAGCGUUAUCCGGAAUUAUUGGGCGUAAAGGGUGCGUAGGCGGUUUGAUAAGUCUAUAGUUUAAAUGCAGUGCUUAACGCUGUAGCGCUAUAGAAACUGUCUGACUAGAGUUAGAUAGAGGCAAGCGGAAUUCCAUGUGUAGCGGUAAAAUGCGUAAAUAUAUGGAGGAACACCAGAGGCGUAGGCGGCUUGCUGGGUCUUAACUGACGCUGAGGCACGAAAGCGUGGGGAGCAAACAGGAUUAGAUACCCUGGUAGUCCACGCCGUAAACGAUGAGUACUAAGUGUCGGGUUUCGGCUCGGUACUGAAGUUAACACAUUAAGUACUCCGCCUGAGUAGUACGUACGCAAGUAUGAAACUUAAAGGAAUUGACGGGACCCCGCACAAGCGGUGGAUCAUGUUGUUUAAUUCGAAGAUACACGAAAAACCUUACCAGGUCUUGACAUAAUUUUGCGACAUUAUAGAAAUAUAAUGAAGGUUAUCAGAAUUACAGGUGGUGCAUGGUUGUCGUCAGCUCGUGUCGUGAGAUGUUAGGUUAAGUCCUAAAACGAGCGCAACCCUUGUCGUUAGUUGCGACCACGUAAUGGUGAGCACUUUAGCGAGACUGCCAAUGAAAAAUUGGAGGAAGGUGAGGAUUACGUCAAAUCAUCAUGCCCCUUAUGAUCUGGGCUACAAACGUGAUACAAUGGCUGUUACAAAGAGUAGCUACAACGUGAGUUUUUAGCCAAUCUCAAAAAAACAGUCUCAGUUCGGAUUGAAGUCUGCAACUCGACUUCAUGAAGUUGGAAUCGCUAGUAAUCGCGAAUCAGCAUGUCGCGGUGAAUACGUUCUCGGGGUUUGUACACACCGCCCGUCA